GUCAAUUACUUCGUUGAUAUGCCAAAGGAAAUGUGUAAACAAGGUAUACCAGAAAAGAAGUUGCAGCUUUUGUCAAAUGUGAGUGGAGUAUUUUCACCAGGCACUGCAUUGGUUGGGUCAAGUGGAGCAGGAAAAACUACUCUGAUGGACGUGCUUGCUGGCCGGAAAACUGGGGGAUAUAUAGAAGGGGAUAUUAAGAUAUCAGGUUACCCUAAAGAGCAGCGCACAUUUGCUAGAAUUUCAGGAUAUGUUGAACAAAAUGAUAUACAUUCUCCUCAGGUUACU
This 285-nucleotide unclassified non-coding RNA is filed under the name Hevea brasiliensis (rubber tree). Lineage: Eukaryota; Viridiplantae; Streptophyta; Magnoliopsida; Malpighiales; Euphorbiaceae. The record is from RNAcentral.